Molecule: long non-coding RNA, 331 nt
Filed under: Elaeis guineensis (African oil palm)
Lineage: Eukaryota; Viridiplantae; Streptophyta; Magnoliopsida; Arecales; Arecaceae
Description: long non-coding RNA (EGUI_LNC019994)
Source: RNAcentral
GGUAUGAUAACUAAUAUACCUAAACAUACAUGCUCAGAAUGCAGAUGAUUUAUCUUACCCCAAAAUCAACGUUUUGAGUUUAAUCAGUGAUGCAUGUGUGAAAGACUGAGCUGAGAUUACUUGACCCUGUAUGUGUGAAAAGCUGAUCAAAGGAGCAAAAGGGUUUCACAGUUUAAUCAGACCUAAGUCAGUAUUAGCUCGCUAACCAGAUUAGGAAAAUAAAUCUUGAAAGAUAUCAUCAUAUGUGGCGGACAACAUCAAAUUCAGGGAGAUUUAAAGAACUACAUCAAAUCAAUUGGAAGUAUUACCAAAUCCUAUAUGAUCAGGUGGA